UCCACAAACGUAUGAUGGUUUCUAACUCACAUUGAAAUCUUUUUUGCCUUGCUCUGUGUCAUACAUCAGUUUCCUAUCGUUUACUUUUAACUGUGGAAUAUAAGAAUAUUAAAUUAAGAAAGAAAAGGUCUAUUAAAUGGACACGUUAUAAAUUGUGUCACUUACAAUUCCUUUUGCUUUUCAAUGGUUCAGCGUCAGUUAUGUUCUCACUGUUGAACUGCACUGGAACUGUUGGAUGAAAUCAACGUCAUCGCCAACCUGCAGGAAAUAUUUGAAUCAUUACAAUAGAACAAUUUUCUGUUAAUUUUUUUUAAUAAUUCCAUUCUUAUACCCAGCGGUAAACUUUGACUAACUUUGUUAUUUUGAUAGUACUAUAUUUUGAAUACUAAUAUUAUUUUUAAAACACAAGUCAUAGACAAU
Molecule: unclassified non-coding RNA, 420 nt
Filed under: Melitaea cinxia (Glanville fritillary)
Lineage: Eukaryota; Metazoa; Arthropoda; Insecta; Lepidoptera; Nymphalidae
Description: misc RNA ENSMCXG00005001446.1
Source: RNAcentral